UACGUAGGGGGCUAGCGUUGUCCGGAAUCAUUGGGCGUAAAGCGCGUGUAGGCGGUCCGGUAAGUCCGCUGUGAAAGUCGAGGGCUCAACCCUCGAAUGCCGGUGGAUACUGUCGGGCUAGAGUGCGGAAGAGGCGAGUGGAAUUCCUGGUGUAGCGGUGAAAUGCGCAGAUAUCAGGAGGAACACCGAUUGCGAAGGCAGCUCGCUGGGACGUAACUGACGCUGAGACGCGAAAGCGUGGGGAGCAAACAGG
This 253-nucleotide ribosomal RNA is filed under the name uncultured bacterium. RNAcentral describes it as "partial 16S ribosomal RNA". It matches the Rfam family "Bacterial small subunit ribosomal RNA", at positions 524 to 776 of the family's 1533-position model. The record is from RNAcentral.